RNAcentral lists this transfer RNA (65 nucleotides) under Acanthosepion lycidas. RNAcentral describes it as "Sepia lycidas tRNA-Thr". It matches the Rfam family "tRNA". Rfam says of the family: Transfer RNA (tRNA) molecules are approximately 80 nucleotides in length. The record is from RNAcentral. Lineage: Eukaryota; Metazoa; Mollusca; Cephalopoda; Sepiida; Sepiidae.
GUCUUAAUAGUUUAUGUUAAAACACUGAUCUUGUAAAUCAAAAAUAGAAUUAUUUCUUUAAGAUU